GUGUCGGAGCUGGAAGCUCUGGCUUUAGAGAUGCAAGGAUAUGGAAAGCAGAAGAAUGUCAAGGAAGAAGAGGACAUGGUGGUCGAGAGAGAGUUGGACGAUGGUUUCUGGGAAGAGUUGCUUAGUAAUGAGAGUUUGGCUUCGACCUCCUCUAACUAAGAUGUAUUCCUUUUGCCUUUUAGCUGUAUUUUGAAGUUUUUUUUUUGUUCUUUUGUUUAUUUUUAAGCACCUUUUUAUUCCCUUGUCUAUUUUCCAGCUUUUUUUAUCUAGUAGUGUAAACUAAAAGUCUAUACAACACGACGUAGUUCCUGUAUGUACGUUGACAAUCAUAUGAAAAAUAGUUUGUCGGUAAUUCCACAGCCGUUGACAAGGCUUUAAAUUAAGAAAAGUCCAGGCGACCAAUUAGGAACUGUUCUUUAUGAUCCGAAAUAUACAAAUCGCUUUUGGUGAUACUGUUUUCUUUUUACUAUUUUGCUGUCAUGAUAAAAAAAAACAUGUUCCAAAUCGGACACUGCUUUGGUCGUCCAGAUUAGAUGAUUUAAUAAAUAUUUGCUAAUCAUCAGGUUUAGACAACAAACCAAAUCUCCAGAUGGACCGAUUGCCACAUCAACAUUAAAAAAGAAACAGUUUAAAACCAGUCAUCGAAUUGUCACUUCAUUAACGUUGUCAAGUUUUAUAUUCUUAAAUAGAGAUACAUAAGAGGAUGGGCACCACGUGAAAUCUAUACCGGCGCACAGUCGUCAAUACAUGAAGUUCGAGAAGUUUCGAACCCAACCCUUUUCUCUUCUUAAUAUUCCGGAACUUUCGAAUUUUUUAAAGUCGAGUGAGUGAGAAAGAGUACUAUAUUUAUAUAAUUUUUUAUUCAAUUUAAUAUUAUCACUCACUUUCCCACUCAUUCCUCCUAUUUAAGCCACCUCCCCAUGGCCUACGUGGAUAUUAUCUUCCUCUCUUCUCCCUCCCAACUGCCAUUAACGAACUCUUAAACCAUAUAUGUCAGCACCACAACAUCAAAUCACUUUCAUCAUUCACUUUCAAAUCCGAUAACAAACAAACAGUUUCCCAAGAUGGUUUAGUUGGAACAAUUUGAUCCAAGUUACCAAACAAUCAUUUCUUUUUCUUAAAUCGAUGAAUCCGUUUCUGCUCCAAGAAAAUGUUCCACCACCGUCACCACCAAAACCAAUCGAAGGGUUGCACGAAAUAGGACCGCCUCCGUUUCUGAUCAAGACAUUCGAGAUUGUGGAGGAUCCAAACACGGACCACAUCGUGUCUUGGAACAGAGGAGGCACUAGUUUUGUCGUCUGGGAUUUGCAUUCUUUCUCUGAGUUUCUUCUCCCUCGUCACUUCAAACACAGCAACUUCUCAAGCUUCGUCAGACAACUCAACACUUACGUAAGUCUUCUUCUUUUCUCUGACCCAACAAAACUCAAAUGCUCUGUUUUUCUGUGUUAGUAAAAUUCAAUUUUUUUUUACUGCAAAAAUGGGUUAUUUCUAGAAACAUCGAAUAAUGUAGAUUCUGUCUGGUAGUGGGAGAAGAAGAAGUCUCUUUAGUAAGUUCUAGAAUCUUGGCUCGUGCCACCAUGCUUUCUAAAACAAUUAGUAAGUUCUAGAAUUUUGGUUCUUGUCAACUUGGUUUCUAAAACAAUUAGUAAGUUCUAGAAUCUUGGGUUCGUGCCAACUUGGUUCUUAAAAUAAUCAAGAAAGCGUUAUCAAUCUUAUCACAAUAUAUAUUUUUUAUAGACUAAGGUUGCCCACUUGUUCCAUUUUUUUUUAUAAUAUCUUCUGAUAGUACACAUCUCUCUCCAAUAAUUUUUUGUUUGUCUAAUCACACUUUUGAAACCUUAUAGAUAUUUUCAAAUAAAAUUUUGAAAACUAUUUAUAGGGUUUUAGAAAGAUAGAGGCAGAGAGAUGGGAGUUUGCAAACGAAGGGUUUCUCUUGGGACAGAGACAUUUACUGAAGAGCAUCAAGAGAAGAGCUUCCUUUGCUUCAUCAUCGAUUAUUCAAGAUCCUUGCGUAGAGCUUCGUAAGGAGAAGCAACUGCUGUUGAUGGAGCUGGCGAGUCUGAGACAGCAGCAACAAACCGCGAGAAUUUACAUCAAAUCCAUGGAGCAGAGGAUCGAAGGAGCAGAGAAGAAACAGAGAAUGAUGAUGUCGUUCUUGGCUAGGGCGUUUCAGGGCCCUACGUUUCUGUAUCAGCUACUCCAGGAGAGAGACAUGAGACUUAAGGAGGUUGAGGUUGAGGUAGAAGAGAGGGAAAGAGGUUCUUCGGUGUCUGAACUCGAGGCUCUGGCGCUGGAGAUGCAAGGGUAUGGGAGACAGAGGAAUAUGAAGGAAGAAGAGGAUAUGGUGGUCGAGAGAGAGUUGGACGAUGGUUUCUGGGAAGAGUUGCUUAGUAAUGAGAGUUUGGCUUCGACCUCCUCUAACUAAGAUGUAUUCCUUUUGCCUUUUAGCUGUAUUUUGAAGUUUUUUUUUUGUUCUUUUGUUUAUUUUUAAGCACCUUUUUAUUCCCUUGUCUAUUUUCCAGCUUUUUUUAUCUAGUAGUGUAAACUAAAAGUCUAUACAACACGACGUAGUUCCUGUAUGUACGUUGACAAUCAUAUGAAAAAUAGUUUGUCGGUAAUUCCACAGCCGUUGACAAGGCUUUAAAUUAAUAAUGUCUUGUAGUGAAGUGAUCUCUUGAUUAUGUGGGUAGGGGAGAAGUGAACUCAGUGAGCAAAACAGUUG
This 2722-nucleotide long non-coding RNA is filed under the name Brassica rapa (field mustard). RNAcentral describes it as "long non-coding RNA (BRAP_LNC002159)". Lineage: Eukaryota; Viridiplantae; Streptophyta; Magnoliopsida; Brassicales; Brassicaceae. The record is from RNAcentral.